This 52-nucleotide transfer RNA is filed under the name Carychium tridentatum. RNAcentral describes it as "tRNA-Tyr". Lineage: Eukaryota; Metazoa; Mollusca; Gastropoda; Ellobiida; Ellobiidae. The record is from RNAcentral.
UUCGAAGCAAUAGCGAUAAAUUGUAAAUUUAUUUUUGGGUUUUACCCCGAAA